AUUGAACGCUGGCGGCAGGCUUAACACAUGCAAGUCGAGCGGGGGAAGGUAGCUUGCUACCGGACCUAGCGGCGGACGGGUGAGUAAUGCUUAGGAAUCUGCCUAUUAGUGGGGGACAACAUCUCGAAAGGGAUGCUAAUACCGCAUACGUCCUACGGGAGAAAGCAGGGGAUCUUCGGACCUUGCGCUAAUAGAUGAGCCUAAGUCGGAUUAGCUAGUUGGUGGGGUAAAGGCCUACCAAGGCGACGAUCUGUAGCGGGUCUGAGAGGAUGAUCCGCCACACUAGGACUGAGACACGGCCCAGACUCCUACGGGAGGCAGCAGUGGGGAAUAUUGGACAAUGGGGGGAACCCUGAUCCAGCCAUGCCGCAUGUGUGAAGAAGGCCUUAUGGUUGUAAAGCACUUUAAGCGAGGAGGAGGCUCUUUUGGUUAAUACCCAAGAUGAGUGGACGUUACUCGCAGAAUAAGCACCGGCUAACUCUGUGCCAGCAGCCGCAGUAA
Molecule: ribosomal RNA, 501 nt
Filed under: uncultured bacterium
Lineage: Bacteria
Description: partial 16S ribosomal RNA
Rfam family: Bacterial small subunit ribosomal RNA
Source: RNAcentral